GUCCUAGCUGUAAACGAUGGACACUAGGUGUUGGAGGCAUCGACCCCUUCAGUGCUGUUCUGCUAACGCGUUAAGUGUCCCGCCUGGGGAGUACGGCCGCAAGGUUGAAACUCAAAGGAAUUGACGGGGGCCCGCACAAGCGGUGGAGCAUGUUGGUCAAUUGGAUGAUACGCCAAGAACCUUACCAGGGUUUGACAUGUUUGGGACAGCUGGUGAAAGCCAGUCUCCGUAGCAAUACGGCCCAUUCACAGGUGGUGCAUGGUUGUCGU
This 269-nucleotide ribosomal RNA is filed under the name uncultured bacterium. RNAcentral describes it as "partial 16S ribosomal RNA". It matches the Rfam family "Bacterial small subunit ribosomal RNA", at positions 793 to 1055 of the family's 1533-position model. The record is from RNAcentral.